UAGCUUAAUUGGUAGUGCGUCUGCCUUGUAAGCGCUAGGCCGCGGGUUCGAUUCCCGC
Molecule: transfer RNA, 58 nt
Filed under: Diaphorina citri (Asian citrus psyllid)
Lineage: Eukaryota; Metazoa; Arthropoda; Insecta; Hemiptera; Psyllidae
Rfam family: tRNA
About the family: Transfer RNA (tRNA) molecules are approximately 80 nucleotides in length.
Source: Rfam by way of RNAcentral